GGCCUGUUCGUCUAAAGGUUAGGACACAACCCUUUCACGGUUGCAAUGUUGAGUUCAAGUCUCACACAGGUCACCA
Molecule: transfer RNA, 76 nt
Filed under: Massiliimicrobium timonense
Lineage: Bacteria; Bacillati; Bacillota; Erysipelotrichia; Erysipelotrichales; Erysipelotrichaceae
Also listed under: 1 other name
Description: tRNA-Glu
Rfam family: tRNA
About the family: Transfer RNA (tRNA) molecules are approximately 80 nucleotides in length. Their secondary structure includes four short double-helical elements and three loops (D, anti-codon, and T loops).
Source: RNAcentral